CCUACGGGAGGCAGCAGUGAGGAAUAUUGGUCAAUGGGCGGGAGCCUGAACCAGCCAAGUCGCGUGAAGGAAGACGGUACUUAGGAUUGUAAACUUCUUUUGUCGGGGAACAAAGGCGGAGACGCGUCUCCGGAGGAGUGGACCCGAAGAAAAAGCAUCGGCUUACUCCGUGCCAGCAGCCGCGGUAAUACGGAGGAUCCGAGCGUUAUCCGGAUUUCUUGGGUUUAAAGGGAGCGUAGAGGGGUUGUUAAUUAAGUGGGUAAAGUUUGCGGAUUAACCGUAAAAUUGCAAUUGAUACUGGCAGUCUUGAGUACAGUUGAGGUAGGCGGAAUGCGUGGUGUAGCGGUGAAAUGCUUAGAUAUCACGAAGAACCCCGAGUGCGAAGGCAGCUUACUAACCUGUGACUGACAUUGAUGCUCGAAAGUGUGGGUAUCAAACAGGAUUAGAUACCCGGGUAGUC
This 460-nucleotide ribosomal RNA is filed under the name uncultured bacterium. Its description in RNAcentral is "partial 16S ribosomal RNA". It matches the Rfam family "Bacterial small subunit ribosomal RNA", at positions 338 to 795 of the family's 1533-position model. The record is from RNAcentral.